RNAcentral lists this long non-coding RNA (1082 nucleotides) under Ovis aries (sheep). RNAcentral's name for it is "lncRNA (ENSOARG00000025215.1)". Lineage: Eukaryota; Metazoa; Chordata; Mammalia; Artiodactyla; Bovidae. The record is from RNAcentral.
UCUAGAGCAGAAAUAAUCUGCAGUUUUUCUCAUCAGUGUAAAGGAUAAAAUGUCAAAACAACAACUGGGAUGGAACACAGGUUUUUGGUGACCUCAGACUAUGUUUACAGCCAUCAGUUUUCACCUUCUGGGUGUGUAUUUUCAAGCAGUUACUAAUCCACAUAAGAGAGCCAUCUCCAACCCAUUCGUUCCAGUUGUGUCUGUAGAGGUAUGAUGUACUUGUCCCAAGGUCUUCCUGAAAUCCUGGUACACAGACCCGUUGAUCAGCCUAGGGACUGUAUUCAGAAAGUCAUCAUCGCUCUUAUUGAGCCUAAUGAUUUCUGCUUCAUUUUCUGUGUUCAAUUUCGAUCAAGACACUUUGUUAAGUGUCUAUGAUGUGUAGGUCAUUGCAGAGGUUGCCAGGAAGGCAAAACAAUCCUUGUCAUGGAGGGGUUUUUAUUGUAUUGAGAGCAUAAACUAUCCUUUAUGUGACUAAUUUUGUAAUGUUUGUAAGACGUACUUUAAUGUUACCAACCAAUGUUGGGACUUUCUUCAACUUUGCUCUUGUGUGUGUGUGUGUGUGUGUGUGUGUGUGUGUGGCCCCCUCACCUUCCUCAGGCUGCAGGUCCCGCUGUGGCCGCGUAUGGCCGCCAGGAGGGCUGAGCGCUCGCAGUCCGCCUCAGUGUAGGACGGUUUCUUUGGCCCUCCCUUUGAGCCGGGUUCUGGAAUCUAGAAUAUUUAUUAAUGACGUCAACUCCUGUCACUUAGGUGACGGGGAGAUGACGACUAUAAGGCAGUACGCAAGAAAGCCCAUAGUUAUCAGGUCAGGCCUGCAGGGUCAGUUUUACCAUCUCUGUCUGUUAGAAGGUAGAAGUAUCAGGGUGCUGUUCUGGAUUGACUUCACACUAUAUAAAAAUUAUGGGGCUUCCCUGGUGGCUCAGCUAGAAUCUGCUUGGCAAUGCAGGAGAUGCAGGUUUGAUCCCUGGGUGGGGAAGAUCCCCUGGAGAAGGGAAUACCCACUCCAGUAUUCUUGCCUGGGAAAUCCCAUGGACAGAGGAGCCUGGUGGGCUAGAGUCCAUGGGGCCACAAAGAGUCAGACAUGA